GGUAAUACAGAAGCCUCGAGCGUUACCCGGAUUCACUGGGCGUAAAGGGUGCGUAGGCGGGUAGAUUAGUCGGGUGUUAAAUCUUGGGGCUCAACCUCAAGCUCGCAUCCGAAACGGUCUACCUUGAAGGCGUCAGAGGUAAGCAGAACUCUCGGUGUAGGGGUGGAAUCCGUUGAUAUCGAGGGGAAUACCAAAUGCGAAGGCAGCUUACUGGGACGUUCUUGACGCUGAGGCACGAAAGCGUGGGUAGCGAACGGGAUUAGAUACCCCGGUAGUCCACGCCCUAAACGCUGUUCGCUAGCUAUAAGGAGUAUCGACCCUCUUUGUGGCGUAGGUAACCCGUUAAGCGAACCGCCUGGGUAGUACGAGCGCAAGCUUAAAACUCAAAGGAAUAGACGGGGGCUCGCACAAGCGGUGGAUCAUGUGGCUUAAUUCGUAGCUAAGCGAGGAACCUUACCUGGGCUAGAAACUAUACUGCACGCUCCCUGAAAGGGGAGAAGCCUUCGAGGGUGUAUAGCAGGUGAUGCAUGGCCGUCGUCAGUUCGUGUCUUGAGAUGUUCCCUUAAGUGGGGAAACGAACGCAACCCUCGUUGUGUGUUAUACGUGUCACACGAGACUGCCCCCUCACGGGGGAGGAAGGUGAGGAUGACGCCAGGUCAGCAUGUCCCUCGACGCCCAGGGCUGCACACGUGAUACAAUGGGACGUACAGCGAGACGCGAUACCGCAAGGUGGAGCCAAUCUUCAAAACGUCCCUCAGUUCGGAUAGUGGUCUGCAACUCGACCACUGAAGUCGGAAUCGCU
Molecule: ribosomal RNA, 802 nt
Filed under: uncultured organism
Description: bacterial SSU rRNA
Rfam family: Bacterial small subunit ribosomal RNA
Source: RNAcentral